RNAcentral lists this ribosomal RNA (1019 nucleotides) under Bambusicola pustulata. RNAcentral's name for it is "SSU rRNA". It matches the Rfam family "Eukaryotic small subunit ribosomal RNA", at positions 80 to 1107 of the family's 1831-position model. Lineage: Eukaryota; Fungi; Ascomycota; Dothideomycetes; Pleosporales; Bambusicolaceae. The record is from RNAcentral.
CGUGAAACUGCGAAUGGCUCAUUAAAUCAGUUAUCGUUUAUUUGAUAGUACCUUACUACUUGGAUAACCGUGGUAAUUCUAGAGCUAAUACAUGCUGAAAACCCCGACUUCGGGAGGGGUGUAUUUAUUAGAUAAAAAACCAAUGCCCUUCGGGGCUCCUUGGUGAUUCAUGAUAACUUCUCAGAUCGCAUGGCCUUGCGCCGGCGACGGGUUCAUUCAAAUUUCUGCCCUAUCAACUUUCGAUGGUAAGGUAUUGGCUUACCAUGGUUUCAACGGGUAACGGGGAAUUAGGGUUCGAUUCCGGAGAAGGGGCCUGAGAGACGGCCACUACAUCCAAGGAAGGCAGCAGGCGCGCAAAUUACCCAAUCCCGACACGGGGAGGUAGUGACAAUAAAUACUGAUACAGGGCUCUUUUGGGUCUUGUAAUUGGAAUGAGUACAAUUUAAACCUCUUAACGAGGAACAAUUGGAGGGCAAGUCUGGUGCCAGCAGCCGCGGUAAUUCCAGCUCCAAUAGCGUAUAUUAAAGUUGUUGCAGUUAAAAAGCUCGUAGUUGAACCUUUGGCCUGGCUGGCAGGUCCGCCUCACCGCGUGUACUUGUCCGGCCGGGCCUUUUCUUCUGGAGAACCGCAUGCCCUUCACUGGGUGUGUUGGGGACCAGGACUUUUACUUUGAAAAAAUUAGAGUGUUCAAAGCAGGCCUUUGCUCGAAUACGUUAGCAUGGAAUAAUAGAAUAGGACGUGCGGUUCUAUUUUGUUGGUUUCUAGGACCGCCGUAAUGAUUAAUAGGGACAGUCGGGGGCAUCAGUAUUCAAUUGUCAGAGGUGAAAUUCUUGGAUUUAUUGAAGACUAACUACUGCGAAAGCAUUUGCCAAGGAUGUUUUCAUUAAUCAGUGAACGAAAGUUAGGGGAUCGAAGACGAUCAGAUACCGUCGUAGUCUUAACCAUAAACUAUGCCGACUAGGGAUCGGGCGGUGUUUCAAUAUUGACUCGCUCGGCACCUUACGAGAAAUCAAAGUGUU